RNAcentral lists this microRNA precursor (226 nucleotides) under Ananas comosus (pineapple). Its description in RNAcentral is "MIR159 microRNA precursor family". It matches the Rfam family "MIR159 microRNA precursor family". Lineage: Eukaryota; Viridiplantae; Streptophyta; Magnoliopsida; Poales; Bromeliaceae. The record is from Rfam by way of RNAcentral.
GGGUUUGAAUAAGAGCUCCAUUCGGUCCAAUAAAGGGGGUAGAGGGAAGGAUAGAGCUGCCACAUCAUGGAUUAGGCUAAGCCUUAUUCUUGGAUCCCAGAAUAGUGGGAGAAUAAGGCUUUGGCCAUUGCAUGGUGUGGGAGCAAUUUAUUGUGUUUAUAAUUACAUCUCUACCUUUUCCCUUGACCCACUCAUUGGACUGAAGGGAGCUCCUGCAUGCUUAUGA